This is a long non-coding RNA of Triticum aestivum (bread wheat), 1088 nucleotides long. RefSeq lists it as uncharacterized. NCBI's taxonomy places the organism in Eukaryota, Viridiplantae, Streptophyta, Magnoliopsida, Poales, Poaceae. The transcript has 5 exons. The record is from RefSeq and is a predicted model, not a curated record.
UCCACCCACGCCCCUCGCUCCUUCCUCCCUCACCCGCCGCCGCUCCCUCCCACCUCCUCCUCCUCCUUCUUCUGCGCCCUAGGAGCCCCGCCGCCGCCCUGCUGCUACUCCUCCACCGGCCCGCCUCUCCCUCCUCCCCGCCUUCCCAUCGCUCACGUGCAGGCCAUCAUGGCCACGCGCUUCGCGGGCGAACCCGACCGGCCCGUCGCUGUUGGCUCGAGCUGCUGGGAAGAGGGAGGAGUCCGGAGACGGCGUGAAGGCACAGGCCGUGCCUGGUGAGGCGGCGCCGCCGGCCAUGGGACGCAGGACCUCGGGGAGCCCCUUCCCAGGCCCGCGCCUAAAUUCUUGGGCAGGGGAGGAUAGAUCGACGAUGGCGCAUCACAUAAGGGAAUGGGAGAUCGAGGAGAAGGGAGACAAGGGUGGGUGGUGGCUUGCAGCAUGGGGCGGGCACGUCCAACGAUGGUGGUGUUCUGUGGAUCUGGUGCCCCCUCUCCUUUGGCGACCUCCUCCUCCUCAUCUGCUGCCGAUGGCUGUGAGUUCACGGCUGCUCCGGAGCUCCAACGAGCCAAGUUGUGUGCAAAUCCGACAAAGAAGAGAAAAGGAAGAAUAUUGAGGAAGAGUUUUGGUGAAGAAGAACAAGAGUAGCAAUGGAUUGUACAGAAAAUAGCAUACUAAAUGUUCUUGAUGAGCUGAUCAUGGACCUCGGCAAAAUUGACAAUGCUAUCAACACUCUUUGCGACGCUGGAAUAGAAAUGAAAAAUUAUAAUUUAAUUACUCUGGCAUCUACUGUGGAAGGAUCAGUUUUUAUGGCAUGGACUACAAAGGAGAGAAGUGGACCAUGUGAACGUAGUACAACAUUGUUGUUAGUUCUCGCAGUCGAGGUCUGCUCAGGAAGACACAGCUCGACCGAACAACUGUUGUGUUUUCCCAGUUGUUUGCAAAUCCGACGAAAAGGAGCAAAGAAAGAAUAUUGAGGAAUAUUUAGGUAAAGAAGAACAAGUGCAUUUAUGUUGCUUCCUGCAAGGUCAAUGAUAUGGAGCCAGUUGGAAUUCAUAUUCAAGCUAAUACAGUGACUAAAUUUGGCGAGG